GAUGAACGCUGGCGGCGUGCUUAACACAUGCAAGUCGAACGGUGAAGGCGGAGCUUGCUCUGCUGGAUCAGUGGCGAACGGGUGAGUAACACGUGAGCAAUCUGCCCCUGACUCUGGGAUAAGCGCUGGAAACGGCGUCUAAUACUGGAUACGAGCUGCGAAGGCAUCUUCAGCAGCUGGAAAGAAUUUCGGUCAGGGAUGAGCUCGCGGCCCAUCAGCUUGUUGAUGAGGUAAUGGCUCACCAAGGCGUCGACGGGUAGCCGGCCUGAGAGGGUGACCGGCCACACUGGGACUGAGACACGGCCCAGACUCCUACGGGAGGCAGCAGUGGGGAAUAUUGCACAAUGGGCGAAAGCCUGAUGCAGCAACGCCGCGUGAGGGACGACGGCCUUCGGGUUGUAAACCUCUUUUAGCAGGGAAGAAGCGAAAGUGACGGUACCUGCAGAAAAAGCGCCGGCUAACUACGUG
RNAcentral lists this ribosomal RNA (468 nucleotides) under uncultured bacterium. Its description in RNAcentral is "partial 16S ribosomal RNA". It matches the Rfam family "Bacterial small subunit ribosomal RNA", at positions 28 to 507 of the family's 1533-position model. The record is from RNAcentral.